This 2208-nucleotide long non-coding RNA is filed under the name Salmo salar (Atlantic salmon). RNAcentral describes it as "lncRNA (ENSSSAG00000101769.1)". The record is from RNAcentral. Lineage: Eukaryota; Metazoa; Chordata; Actinopteri; Salmoniformes; Salmonidae.
CUAAUCAAGACGUUCCUUGUAUUGUAUUUAGUUUCAACAAUGCUGCUCGUCGGUAAUAGUUGGCUAGGUUAGGAAAAAUGGCGUCGCGGGGGACGGAAAUAGCUGGCUAGCUAACCUCGAUGGCUGGCUAGCUAACAAUUAUCAAGCUAUGACAAAGACAACUAGGUAGCUCGCUAGGUAACACUGCACUAGUCAAAUCGUUCCGUUGUGAAGUAUUAGUAACUACAGCGCUGCUAGUCGGUAACGGAUGGCUAUCUGGCAGUGGGUUAAUGAUGACUAGGUGUGUUGAGUAAGUCUGGCGCCGCGUCGCGGCUGGCUAGCACACCUCGAUAAUACUCAAACUCAAACUACACAAUUAUCUUAGAUACAGAGACAGCACAGACAACUAUGUAGCUGGCUAACUAACACUAACACCACACUAAUCAAGUCGUUGCGUUGUAAUGUAAUAGUUUCUGCGGUACUGUUAGUCGGUAGAAGUUGGCUAGCUAACAGUGAUGACUAGCUAGCUAGCAGCUAGCAGUGUUGACUACGUUAGGAGGACGAAGAUAGCUAGCCUCGAUAAUUACUCAGUUACUCUAAACUACACAAUUAUCUUUGAUACAAAGACGGCUAUGUAGCUAGCUAAGAAGAAUUGCUCAGAUCAGACCAAUUGCAAUGCAGCAAGAGGAGGGAAUACUUCACAUGAUGGUGCUACAUCACAUACCAACAGCCAUAAUGACAGCUAUAAUGACAGCCAUGACGACAACCGUGUUGACAAAAGUCAACACAUAUCAGGCCAAAGCAUAUCAAGCGAUAUGAAAGGCAAUUUUUCCAUUGGCAACCAGACCAACAUCACCAGUCAUUCCGCUCCACCAAAAACUCCCCAAAAAUCUGUCGUACCCAGCUUCACCAUUGCCAACGUUACAGGCGGCAAAGUGCGUCUCUACUACAAGUCAGAGGAGAUGGCUCUCAGUGACCUCAUCGAGGGGUGUAAACUCAAGAAGGGCGACUCCAUGCUCAUCCUGGAAGGCACCGUUAAGAAGAGCGUUCUCCCGCAUAAACUCUAUGUCACUGGCUUCCAAGUAGAAAAUGACAAUACUCAAUUAUGCCCUGAGGAAGGCCCAAUUUAUGGGAUGAACAACCUCCUGGCAGAGUAUGCUGAGGGUCAACCCAAGUCCUACAUCCUCACUGCUGACAAAGAGGUGAAGAUAGCUGAAACAGGAAAGAUCUGGAUGGAUGAGGACGGGUUGGAUCACAACCCCAAAAAGUAACGCCACCAGAGAACCUCCUGUAUCUUAACACCCUUUAUUAUUCACAGAUUAAACUACUUACAAAUUAUUGAUGAAAAAUAAAGAGAGUAUACAUCACAGAUAAGUGAAAUAGUGCUUCAAGAUACACUCUGUGUAUGGUAGAAAUCAGCAAUGUUAUCACUGUAGUUUUGUGACAAAUAAAUAAAUGUUACCUAACUGAGAAAACGUUAGUGUGUGUGUGUGUGUGUGUGUGUGUGUGUGUGAUUACAUUACAUGAUUGGAGAUGCCACCAGAUAUGCUACAUACGGAUACUUAUGUUAACAACGGUCAACAACACAAGAUUGUAAUAUACGUUUUAUUUCUAUGGUUGUAGUCAUUUUAUUUCAAGCAUACAAAGUGAUGGUGCAAGACACUUACAGGGAGCACAAAUAUAUAUAGCAGAGAAAAAGCCUGCAUAUUUCCUCAUUUCCUUGGAAUUGAAGAUCAUGUGAACUAGAAUGUUAGAUACAGUGCAUUCGGAAAGUGUUCAGAACCCUUCAGACUUUUUCUACAUUUUGUUACGUUACAGUCAUAUUCUAAAAUGGAUUAAAUACUUUUUUCUACACACAAUGCCCCAUAAUGACAAAGCAAAAACAGAUUUUUAGACAUUUUUGCAAAUGUAAAUUUAUUAAAAACUCCAAAAUAACUUAUUUACCUGUGCAUACGAAUUCAGAUCCUUUGCUAUGAUCGAAAUUGAGUUCAGUUGCAUCCUGUUUCCAUUAAUCAUCCUUGAGAUGUUUCUAUAACUUGAUUGGAGUCCACCUGUGGUAAAUUCAAUUGGUUGGACAUGAUUUGGAAAGGCACACACCUGUCUAUAUAAGGUUCCACAGUUGACAGUGCAUGUCAGAGCAAAAACCAAGCCAUGAGGACAAAAGAAUUGUCCAUAGACCUUCAAGACAGGAUUGUGUCAAGUCCCAAAUCUGGGGAAGGGUACCAAAAC